UCACUUUGUCAUUGCAGAAGCAAGACCAGAAUCCAGGUCUCUUAAUUAUGAGAUGUAUGAGAUGCCUGAUAGGAGAGGGUUUGCUGGAGCAAAGAAAAAUUGGAACUUUUACUCAAAUGAUUAAGGGGUCCUGGCCAAAGCUAAUCUCUAGUGGCAAAGCCAAGCUGAAAUACACAGGUAGAAAGAAACUCAGGAAGUAUCAAAUGGGCAACUAUGGAAUUUUUCAGCAUUUUUCCCAGAAGAGACUGAGGUGUGAGGCGGAUGACCAACUGACCCAAAUGCCCCUACUCUGACAGGCUCCUGGCAGGUCAUUUUUCUUGGAGAAAGAAUGGGGACAUUGUUGUAUUUCAAACCAGGAAUAUUGUGACAGUUUAAUUCAUGCUAUUCUUAUUUUAGUGGAAUCUAAUUGAAUCUUAUGCAUAUGAAUGAGAAAAAAAAACAGUAAACUGUUCAGUGAUCAAACAUUACUCUUACUGCCUCAUUCUGCAAAUUCUUUGAGUCAAAAUGAAAACUAAAUGGCAUUUGGAAACAAGUGUACACAUAGGAAAGUAUCUUUCAGAAUCCGGUGGUCUAAGAUUGGACUGGAAAGAAAGAAGGUUCCUUGCUGGCCAGGCGCUUAUUCCCCAUUUUUCAUUUCUGUUUGUAAUUCCUGUCAUCUUUGUUUCUUAUGCUUUGGCUAAAAAGGGAG
Molecule: long non-coding RNA, 688 nt
Organism: Bos indicus x Bos taurus (hybrid cattle)
Lineage: Eukaryota; Metazoa; Chordata; Mammalia; Artiodactyla; Bovidae
Source: Ensembl